GAUGAACGCUGGCGGCGUGCCUAAUACAUGCAAGUCGAGCGAACGGACGAGAAGCUUGCUUCUCUGAUGUUAGCGGCGGACGGGUGAGUAACACGUGGAUAACCUACCUAUAAGACUGGGAUAACUUCGGGAAACCGGAGCUAAUACCGGAUAAUAUUUUGAACCGCAUGGUUCAAAAGUGAAAGACGGUCUUGCUGUCACUUAUAGAUGGAUCCGCGCUGCAUUAGCUAGUUGGUAAGGUAACGGCUUACCAAGGCAACGAUGCAUAGCCGACCUGAGAGGCGGAUCGGCCACCCUGGAACGUAGACACGGUCCAGACUCCUACGGGAGGCAGCAGUAGGGAAUCUUCCGCAAUGGGCGAAAGCCUGACGGAGCAACGCCGCGUGAGUGAUGAAGGUCUUCGGAUCGUAAAACUCUGUUAUUAGGGAAGAACAGAUGUGUAAGUAACUGUGCACAUCUUGACGGUACCUAAUCAGAAAGCCACGGCUAACUACGUG
RNAcentral lists this ribosomal RNA (497 nucleotides) under uncultured bacterium. RNAcentral's name for it is "partial 16S ribosomal RNA". It matches the Rfam family "Bacterial small subunit ribosomal RNA", at positions 28 to 507 of the family's 1533-position model. The record is from RNAcentral.